RNAcentral lists this small nuclear RNA (107 nucleotides) under Notamacropus eugenii (tammar wallaby). Lineage: Eukaryota; Metazoa; Chordata; Mammalia; Diprotodontia; Macropodidae. The record is from RNAcentral.
GUGCUUGCUUCAGCACCACAUAUACUAAAAUAGGAAAGAUACAGAGAAGAUUAGCAUGGCCCCUAUACAAGGACGACAUGUAAAUUUGUGAAGCAUUCCAUACUUUU